CCCCCAGAUGUUCUGGGCCGCACGCGCGCUACACUGAACAGUUCAACAAGUCUUAACCUUGGCCGAUAGGUCUGGGUAAUCUUUGAACGCUGUUCGUGAUUGGGAUAGACCUUUGCAAUUAUGGGUCUUCAACGAGGAAUUCCUAGUAAACGCAAGUCAUCAGCUUGCAUUGAUUACGUCCCUGCCCUUUGUACACACCGCCCGUCGCACCUACCGAUUGAAUGGUCCGGUGAAAUCUCGGGACGGCGGCUUGGUCGCUUGCGUCCGACUGCUGAAACUUGAUUAAACCAUAUCAUUUAGAGGAAGGUGAANUCGUANCA
Molecule: ribosomal RNA, 320 nt
Filed under: uncultured eukaryote
Lineage: Eukaryota
Description: partial 18S ribosomal RNA
Rfam family: Eukaryotic small subunit ribosomal RNA
Source: RNAcentral